GAUGAACGCUGUCGGCGUGCCUAAUACAUGCCAGUCGAGCGAACGGACGAGAAGCUUGCUUCUCUGAUGUUAGCGGCGGACGGGUGAGUAACACGUGGAUAACCUACCUAUAAGACUGGGAUAACUUCGGGAAACCGGAGCUAAUACCGGAUGAUAUUUUGAACCGCAUGGUUCAAAAGUGAAAGACGGUCUUGCUGUCACUUAUAGAUGGAUCCGCGCUGCAUUAGCUAGUUGGUAAGGUAACGGCUUACCAAGGCAACGAUGCAUAGCCGACCUGAGAGGGUGAUCGGCCACACUGGAACUGAGACACGGUCCAGACUCCUACGGGAGGCAGCAGUAGGGAAUCUUCCGCAAUGGGCGAAAGCCUGACGGAGCAACGCCGCGUGAGUGAUGAAGGUCUUCGGAUCGUAAAACUCUGUUAUUAGGGAAGAACAUAUGUGUAAGUAACUGUGCACAUCUUGACGGUACCUAAUCAGAAAGCCACGGCUAACUACGUG
Molecule: ribosomal RNA, 497 nt
Filed under: uncultured bacterium
Lineage: Bacteria
Description: partial 16S ribosomal RNA
Rfam family: Bacterial small subunit ribosomal RNA
Source: RNAcentral